GAUGAACGCUGGCGGCGUGCCUAACACAUGCAAGUCGAACGGAAAGGCCCUGCUUUUGUGGGGUGCUCGAGUGCCGAACGGGUGAGUAACACGUGUGUAUCCUGCUCUUGGCUUUGGGAUAACUUCAGGUAACUGGGGCUAAUAUCGGAUAGGAUCUCCUGUACCAUGGUGGGGGUUGGAUAGUUUCGGCGGUUGGGGUUGGACUCGCGGCUUUCCAGCUUGUUGGUGGGGUGGUGGAUUACCAAGGCUUUCACGGGUAGCCGGCCUGUGAGGGUGACCGGCCACAUUGGGACUUAGAGACGGCCCAGGCUCCUACUGGAGGCAGCAGUGGGGAAUAUUGCACAAGGGACAGAAGCCUGAUGCAGCAGCGCCGCGUGCUGUAUGACGGCCUUCGGGUGAUAAACCGCUUUCGCCUUAAACGAAGCGUGAUUGACGGUAAUGGAUAAAAAAGCACCGGCUAACUACGUG
Molecule: ribosomal RNA, 468 nt
Filed under: uncultured bacterium
Lineage: Bacteria
Description: partial 16S ribosomal RNA
Rfam family: Bacterial small subunit ribosomal RNA
Source: RNAcentral